RNAcentral lists this transfer RNA (72 nucleotides) under Capra hircus (goat). It matches the Rfam family "tRNA". From Rfam's summary of the family: Transfer RNA (tRNA) molecules are approximately 80 nucleotides in length. Their secondary structure includes four short double-helical elements and three loops (D, anti-codon, and T loops). Lineage: Eukaryota; Metazoa; Chordata; Mammalia; Artiodactyla; Bovidae. RNAcentral also lists the same sequence under 1 other name. The record is from Rfam by way of RNAcentral.
UCCCUGGUGGCUCAGAUGGUAAAGCAUCUGCCUGCAAUGCAGGAGACCUGGGUUCAAUUCCUGGGUCGGGAA